ACUCCUACGGGAGGCAGCAGUGGGGAAUAUUGCACAAUGGGGGAAACCCUGAUGCAGCCAUGCCGCGUGUGUGAAGAAGGCCUUCGGGUUGUAAAGCACUUUCAGCGAGGAGGAAAAGGGUUAGUAGUUUAAUACCUGCUAGCUGUGACGUUACUCGCAGAAGAAGCACCGGGCUAACUCCGUGCCAGCAGCCGCGGUAAUACGGAGGGUGCGAGCGUUAAUCGGAAUUACUGGGCGUAAAGCGUGCGCAGGCGGUUUGUUAAGCGAGAUGUGAAAGCCCCGGC
Molecule: ribosomal RNA, 284 nt
Filed under: uncultured bacterium
Lineage: Bacteria
Description: partial 16S ribosomal RNA
Rfam family: Bacterial small subunit ribosomal RNA
Source: RNAcentral